CCUACGGGAUGCACCAGUGGGGAAUAUUGCACAAUGGGCGCAAGCCUGAUGCAGCCAUGCCGCGUGUGUGAAGAAGGCCUUCGGGUUGUAAAGCACUUUCAGCGAGGAGGAAGGUGGUGAACUUAAUACGUUCAUCAAUUGACGUUACUCGCAGAAGAAGCACCGGCUAACUCCGUGCCAGCAGCCGCGGUAAUACGGAGGGUGCAAGCGUUAAUCGGAAUUACUGGGCGUAAAGCGCACGCAGGCGGUUUGUUGAGUCGGAUGUGAAAUCCCCGGGCUCAACCUGGGAACUGCAUUUGAAACUGGCAAGCUAGAGUCUCGUAGAGGGGGGUAGAAUUCCAGGUGUAGCUGUGAAAUGCGUAGAGAUCUGGAGGAAUACCGGUGGCGAAGGCGGCCCCCUGGACGAAGACUGACGCUCAGGUGCGAAAGCGUGGGGAGCAAACAGGAUUAGAUAUCCUGGUAGUC
Molecule: ribosomal RNA, 465 nt
Filed under: uncultured bacterium
Lineage: Bacteria
Description: bacterial SSU rRNA
Rfam family: Bacterial small subunit ribosomal RNA
Source: RNAcentral